UGUUGUUUUCUCGAAAAUCAAUUAAAAAGAGUUUGAUUUUGUUGUGUAUUGACCUUAACAGCUUGCAUUUCAAUUUUCUUGCUUUUUUUAAUGCACUUUUCGUUUAACAAGUCAACAUCAGUUUCUUUUGUUGUAAAAGGGUCAUUGGAAGGUGGCUUUCUUUUCGGAGAAAGUGUUUAUAGCCUUUGGCCUCUGCAAUCGGAGAGAUUGAGGUCUGCAGCGUAGAUCCUUCGGGGUUAGAUACAUUUGUGCUAAGUUAUAGCCUUUCAUAGACAACUUGUUGACUAUGAUCAGUCAUGUAGCUUACUCGCUUAUGCUAUUUUACCUAC
RNAcentral lists this ribosomal RNA (329 nucleotides) under Neocallimastigales sp. Its description in RNAcentral is "partial large subunit ribosomal RNA". Lineage: Eukaryota; Fungi; Neocallimastigomycota; Neocallimastigomycetes; Neocallimastigales. The record is from RNAcentral.